RNAcentral lists this unclassified non-coding RNA (437 nucleotides) under Hevea brasiliensis (rubber tree). The record is from RNAcentral. Lineage: Eukaryota; Viridiplantae; Streptophyta; Magnoliopsida; Malpighiales; Euphorbiaceae.
AGAAAAUGGUAAUCAAGUUCAAAGCAGACAAGCUUGGAACAGAGCUUUCCAGGCGUGGUCCAAGAGCCACUGAAACCAAGCCCAAACCGGAAAGGCUGGAAUCAGCUCAUGGAAAGGAAAAACAUUCUGGUGUUUCAGUUGGCAAAAAGCGGCAAAGAAAAUCAAGAGCCGAUGAUUUGGAUGGAAUCAAGAAAGUCAAGGCCAUUGAGGAUCUUCGUGAACAAACAAUCCUUAGGGGCAUUUCAUCAAGCGGGUCAAAGCCAGAAAUAAUAGAUAGGCUUUGUGCUGCUGAGUCAGAAAUGGAGUCAAAGGACCUUGCAGAUUCACAUGAAGUUAAAGAAGAAAAUGAAGGAAAAGAAACAAGCGAAGAAGAAAAGCAACCCACCAAUAAGAAGGGCAGUGCAGUCCCGGACCAGUAUCUGCCAGAUCAUAUAAAG